CGGACGGGUGAGUAAUGUCUGGGGAAACUGCCUGAUGGAGGGGGGUAACUACUGGAAACGGUAGCUAAUACCGCAUAACGUCGCAAGACCAAAGAGGGGGACCUUAGGGCCUCUUGCCAUCGGAUGUGCCCAGAUGGGAUUAGCUAGUAGGUGGGGUAACGGCUCACCUAGGCGACGAUCCCUAGCUGGUCUGAGAGGAUGACCAGCCACACUGGAACUGAGACACGGUCCAG
Molecule: ribosomal RNA, 233 nt
Filed under: uncultured bacterium
Lineage: Bacteria
Description: partial 16S ribosomal RNA
Rfam family: Bacterial small subunit ribosomal RNA
Source: RNAcentral